This 492-nucleotide ribosomal RNA is filed under the name uncultured bacterium. RNAcentral's name for it is "partial 16S ribosomal RNA". It matches the Rfam family "Bacterial small subunit ribosomal RNA", at positions 29 to 507 of the family's 1533-position model. The record is from RNAcentral.
AGUGAACGCUGGCGGUAGGCCUAACACAUGCAAGUCGAACGGCAGCACAGUAAGAGCUUGCUCUUACGGGUGGCGUGUGGCGGACGGGUGAGGAAUACAUCGGAAUCUACUUUUUCGUGGGGGUUAACGUAGGGAAACUUACGCUAAUACCGCAUACGACCUUCGGGUGAAAGCAGGGGAUCUUCGGACUUUGCGCGAUUGAAUGAGUCGAUGUCGAACUAGCUAGUUGGCGGGUUAACGGCCCACCAAUGCGACGUUCCGAAACUGGUCUGAGAGGAUGAUCAGAAGCACUGGAACUGAGUCGGGGCCCAGGUUCCUGAGGGAGGCAGAAGUGGGGAAUAUUGGGCAAAGGGCGGAGGUCUGAUUCAACAAAACCGCGUAGAUGAAGGAGGACUUCGGGUUGUAGAGCCCUUUUGAUGAGUAAGAAGAAAAGAAGGAUGAGACACCGCAGUUAUGACGGUACACGAAGAAUAAGCACCGGCUAACUUCGUG